ACCCACUUGUCUGCUGAUGCGUGUGGCUCAGUUCCCUCCCUGUUGGUUGUUUGGCCUGAGACAACCCAACACUGGAGCCUACCCAGAUCUUUGGUGGGGCUAAUGGCGGACUCCAGGAGGGCCCAUGCCAAGGAGUACUUCCCAGAACUUCUGCUGCCAGUGUCCUUGUCCCCAGGGUGAGCCACAGCCACCCCUGCCUCUUCAGGAGACCCUCCAACACUAGCAGGAAAAGGAGAACUUUAGACACAAAAGGGGAGAACAACGUUUGCCAGGCGAGAAGGCAGAGCAUUUCAGGAGGAGCUGCCUGAGACUCCUUCACAGACAUGCUACAGGGAGCCAACACCAAGCAUUGGAACAAGUGCAGGAUACAACCUACUUUCCGUCCUCCACCAGACAGUUGGGUAAGGCCUUUCUACCCUGACAUUAUGUGAUUCUAAAUCACUUUCUGUAGGCUUGCUCAGACUUCCUAUUAAACUUGUCAUAAGGGAGAAACUGAUGAUUCCGUGAAGUCAAGAAACAGCCCAUGGUAGCUCUACACAAAUGCGAGUGUUGUGAAUACUAGCAUUUCUGUGAGUCCUCCCGACAAAGCUAUCACACAGUCAGGGCUUUCAAGCUGCUGAGGGAACUCCCUGCUGAGCUUGGUCCAAGAUGGUCCCUGGGGAUGGAUUAGGGCAGACAGGGAGAAGGAAUUUGAAAGGUUUUUUUUCUGGAAUAUAAACUUCUAUUUCUAUGCCAGGAUUAAUUCCAUUCCAUACAAGAAUGGCUAGGGCAGUGUUGCUAGGAAAUUAGCAGCUGUUUGUCUGGAUGAUUUUGGACAGGAAUGUGUCACUUGUGCAAUGCAAACAGGGAAGGGCUUUGAAGUGUGAGAAACUGGUCUCUGUCCAGUGCUGUUUAAGGAAACACAGCGCAGGACAUUUUAGACAGAGCCAAGGUGGAGAAUCUUUCCCAAUGUGAUCUAAUUCCCUGGGGCAAUGAGCACUGCCCCAGAGUCUCCUUCCAUGUGCCCAUCUGGUCGGUACUCAUCCUCACAACUGCUGCCUAGCUUUCGAUCCUGAGCCUGUCUGCUGGGCGCCUGGGGCCAGAGUGACCACUGAGCUGGAAGAUGACGCCUCUUUAGAAAUGAGCCCUGGAAGGCUAACUCACCCCCAAAGAAUCCAGCCUUUGGAACUGUAAAGUGGAGCCCUCAAGAAUACCCCGACCCUCCGAUGAUUCCACUAUCUAGAGUUUAAAGACAGGCAAAGCUAAUCUAUUUUAUUAGAGAUCAGAAUAGUACUGACCUUUAGGGAAGAGGGAAGGAGGAGUGAUUGAGAAGUAUCUUAAGGAAGCCUUCUGAGGUUCUGGUUAUAUUGUAUAUGUUGGGCACACUUAUAUUUUCACCUUGCAAUAACUCACUGAAUUGUACACUCAUGACUUUUCUAUGUGUAUGCUACACUUCAAUAACUUUUAAGUAUCUAAAAAAAAAAAAAAGAGAGAGAGAGAGAGAAUACCCUGACCCAUCUCUAGCCUCACCUCACUCCUGCCACUCUGCAUUCUCCUCCCCUGGUUUAUUUUUGUCUAUAACGUUCACCUCUAGUUAACAUCCAUUUCGUUUUCAUGAUUUAUUAUUUAGAGUCUCUCUCUCCUUUCUAGCAUGGAAGCUGCAUGAGGGCAUGGAUUUUUAUCUGUUUUGUUCACAGCUAUCUCUUCAGUACGUAGAACAGUCUCUGGAACAUAAGAGGCACCCAGUAAAUAUUUGUUAAAUGACCAAAUGCACUCAUCUAUUCCAUAU
Molecule: long non-coding RNA, 1768 nt
Organism: Globicephala melas (long-finned pilot whale)
Lineage: Eukaryota; Metazoa; Chordata; Mammalia; Artiodactyla; Delphinidae
Source: RefSeq, a predicted model, not a curated record